This 1174-nucleotide small RNA is filed under the name Pan troglodytes (chimpanzee). Its description in RNAcentral is "processed transcript". The record is from RNAcentral. Lineage: Eukaryota; Metazoa; Chordata; Mammalia; Primates; Hominidae.
CCCACCUCUGCCGGCUCGUACUCGGCUCCCCCACCUCGCCGCAGAGCUAGCCCGGGAAGCCCACACUAGCGGCCACGGAGCAGAGUCCCUCACCCCCACCAGCUGUAGCUGAACGUCUGGAUGGUGGAGAAGAGCAGAUGAUCUGUACUGGACACACGUGGAGAUAUGGCCAUGCCACGCAUGUGCAAACAGAGGUGUACACACAGGAGUGCAGUGAUACAGGACACAGAUAAACAGAAUGUACACAGCCUUCAGGAAGGAUCUCAAGGUCAGGGUUCCGAGUCUGAGGAAGACAUAACCUUGUGCCUGCCUGCCCACCUCUCUCUCUGGUCCUGUUCAUCUCUCAGGCUCUGAGACACUGACCUUCACUGCUCAGUUAAAGGUUCCAGGGAUUCCACUUUGUCUGGACCCAUCCAGCUGAGUGAACCCAGGGUGGUGGUGUAUCUGGGGAGAGUGAGGAGUGGGUUGUCCAAACACCAGGGAUAGAGCCCUUUGGGGCCUCAGACAGAGGAGUGAAGCUGGAACCAUCAGGGAACAUGAGUGAAUUUUGGCACAAACUGGGCUGCUGUGUGGUAGAGAAACCCCAGCCGAAGAAGAAGAGAAGACGGAUUGACCGGACCAUGAUUGGGGAACCAAUGAAUUUUGUCCACCUGACUCACAUUGGCUCAGGGGAGAUGGGGGCCGGAGAUGGACUUGCCAUGACAGGUGCAGUUCAGGAGCAGAUGAGAUCCAAGGGAAACCGAGAUAGGCCAUGGAGCAAUUCUAGGGGCUUAUAGCUCCAAUAAUGGAAUGGUUCUGCCAUCUUGAAACCCCCAUUCUGUUUCCAGCCCAGAAGAAAUGCUGCCCCUACCAGAUCCCUCCUUGAACCAGUGAUCUAAGGACCCCUCUUUUCCCUAUCUGCCUAACAGUGCCUCACAAGGCUUGGGGGCUGGACUCCCUCUACUCCCUCUGGCUAUAGCCCCUCCUGGAGAUGGGGUCAAGGCAGCAGGACUGAUCAAGUGACUACUGGUUAGCCAGAGGAGCUCAGCUGAAGCCCUGGAAACCCUCAGGUCUGAGAUAGGAGUUCUCUAGGAACCUGGAAUGAGUUCCUGUCUCCUGAAUGAUGGUCUGGGUGCCACCUGUUUUUAAACUCUUAAACCUGGAACUCCUUAAAUGGGGUAGGUGGGUGAGAUUA